CAACGUUGUUAUUGGGUGCCCAUAGGUCUUAUGGGUUGAGGGGAGGGGCCUCUGUGGAUCAUCCCACAGAUACUUGAAUCAGUUUGGGAUCUAUUGACUCUGGAGGCCUCGUGCUGUUUUUCAUGUUUUGGGGGUGCCUGGUUUGGCCUAGGGGGCGGUACAUGUCUAAGUAACCUAGUAACAUGCCAGGUCGAAACGUUUCCCAGGAGAACAUUGAAUUCUCACAAGGUGGCCGACCAGUGGCUGAUCAGUGUAUAGUUUGGUUAAUGUGGUGAAGAACCACGUCCUCAGGCUCAUAAGCACCCAGUAGGUUCUCAGCAGUUUGGUGCAAGAAGUGUUUCCCACACACUUCUUGUCUCUCAUACUGCUAAGGAUGUGGGAGCCGUCCGCAGUGUGGUCACGGUUUAGCAUCAAUUAAGCAGAAUUCCCGACGGAAACAGGCUCCCACUGCAAACAAAUGCACUAAACCAUGCAGGCAGCUGUACUGAAUGAAGCUGAAAACCCGGUAAGUCAAUUUGAACAUCACUGACUGACUAAUAACACCAACUGACACCCCGUCUAUACAAUUUACAACACAAGACAAUGGUGCAUUCAGGAACCAUGUUCAAAACAGGACAUUCCAGAUACUUCAUGAGCCUUGGGCUAGGCGUUUUUCCCCGUCGUUCUGGGGUCUGGCUCGGCUCCUUGCAGCUCGAACAAAGACAGGUCCGUACCAGCUGGUGUAUGGUGGCUGUUCCUCAGCAGGGAUGCAGGGGAAUGCAAGUAGUCGACAGGUCGAUGGCAGUUCUGGUCCUUCGCUCCUGCAGGCAAGUGAGGGCUGGCUGUGCAGCGUCCUCGUCAUGGAUCUAAAACGUUCGGUUGAACAUGAGAAAAACAAGUAAAGUUUCCGAGCUCAUCCAGCGAGAUAGAGAACAUGUGGCUUUGUUAAGAAAAGGGAAAGUAACAGUACUGGUGUACCUCUGACAGUAAUGAGAGUUACAUCUGGAAGCAAUGAGGGUGCCGGCGUCUGGGAGCAACCGUGACGUCACAGCCAAGAGACAGGACGUAACGUGGGCUCGUCCAAUGAGAGCCAAGGAUUUAACUCCACCAGAAUUCACACCUAGGUGUGAAUGCCCCAGUGAAUGAUGGGAAAGUGGGUCUUUUUUAGGACUCCCUUUGUUUGAAUUUCUUGCACUUUCCUGCGGUCAGGCUGUAGUGGAACCAUACAGGUCCCACUCAGAGUUGUCGGCCCAACAGCGGGUUGAGAACUCCAUGAAUGCUAGAAGUCUUCUAUAUAAUUUUUACACUUCGGCUUAGGUUUUGGCACCCCUGCUCUAUAUAGCUGCUCGGGGUGUGAUUAGAGUCUCCCAAGUUUGAGAUAUAGUUGAAAUUUCAGCACCAACCAGCUACUUUUCAAAGCCUUUAUCUGCUGUGCAGCUGAGUGAGCACAUGUUUUCUCGUAGGAGAUGCCGCUGUGCUCUUAGAGGCAGUAAUGAUCAUUAAAGAAACAGUAAAAGUCACAUGAGAUGGCUGCAUAUUGCCGUUACGCACUAAAUGUGACGCCUAGCUGUUUUUCAUACGUUCCUCCUCUGUAUUUUUCCUUAUUAUUUCUUUAAACAUACUUGUGCAGAUGACAGAUUCACUUGAGGUUAUUUUUAGCUCACACAAUGCUGUAAUUCAGCCCUUUGUUGAGAAAAGCCUUGAUGUCUCUCAAAUGAAUUAAUUCGAUGAAGAUUGAAGAUGGAAAAAAGGUCACCGCUAUUAAUGUGAUUUGAUCUCUACCUUAAACCAAAUGUCACUCCAUUCCAGAGCAGAACACAAGGCCGGACCUCUGCGCCGUCAGAGACCUCAUUAUAGGUGUGUGUGCGUGUUUGUGUGCGGAGGUGGACAGCUUGUAGAUAUAUUCAGUGUCAUCCAAAGGACAACUGUUGUUUCUAAGCGGCUGAUUGUAGCUCAACGCAAGUUUGCCAAGACGUGCGGUUCAUGCGGCUUCCUGCAACGUCGCGACAUGCAUUUGGUCGACAUUUGGCCCUCGUGAAAGUCAUCGCAGUGAGUCACUCACAGGCGUUGCUUUAUGGAUUAAAUGCAAAGCUCUACUCUGAUAUGCGGAUUUACUGUCACCCUGAUGCAGGUGAGGCCUGACAGGAACACUGGCAAAUAAUUUAGAAGUUGUAGACAGUUUAUAAUUUGUUAUAUUAAUCCUAUUCGCAAGUAUUUGACGUUUCAUUAAUUAACAGAAUAAACGCUUCAUCCAUCACUUGCGGUUUAACUUCUGUGUAUCCUCUAGACAAUAGUUAUUAAAUGGAUAUUGCUUUAAUGUAAAUAUGAACGAGUGGGGAACAAAUUGCACACACAUUCUUCUCUGUGAGGACAAGGACAAGCUCUUAAGAUAUCAUUAAUAAUCACAAUAGGUAUGGCCACCUCACUAAAUAUUACUUAGUUAAUCAUCUACAGUGCCAGACCAUUGGUUCACAGUGUCCUGACAGUACUCAGAGCUCCUGGGAAGAAGAAUGCUGUUAAAUGGAAUGAUCAGGCAUAACAUUAUGACCACCUACCUAAUAUUGCGUAGGUCCUGAUCGGAGUAUGUAGCAAAGUGAAUAUCAUUCAUUUGGACCCAAGUUAAGUAAAUCUCCCAUUAUUUGGUUCUGUUUUUUUUUCUUAGUCUUCCUCGUAUGUUUAAAGAGCUAUUAUAUAAGAUUUUGGGGGGACUCAUAAGCAGAAAUGGAAUGAAGCAUUCAAAAAUAUGUUUCGUGUAUCAUCGCACAAAGCAAUAAAUCUUUUGUGUUUUUGUGAGCUUAUAGUCGGAUCCUGACCCUGAAGUACUAUGUUUCUACAAUAGUGAAGAAAGAACCAACACUGACUCCAGACGGGGGCGGGGGAGGUGGCAGCUUCACUGUGAAAACACUAGAGUGCAGGAAAACCUCCACGCUUGAAAAGAACGGGAGCACUGGUGCAGCCACAUCCAGACUAGACAGAGAGUCGGUAAUGAGGAGAGACGCCACAAAGCUGAGGGAGGUUCGGCUGUUAACUUGGGAGCUGUGGUGAUGGCAAACGGCAGAUCAUCGUCUAAUAACGCGCGAGGAAGCCAAAGUGAGACAAACGAUAUUCAAUAUCAGUAUGAAACAGUGGCAUAAAGCCUUUUUGCCGGCAGACAUGCUCUACAUUUUAAUUUGCCUAAUGACUGAAAAACAGUAAUGGGAAAUUACUACCGUGACCAUUGUACAGCACAGUAUACCAUAUAUACACUCACUCAUAUGCCCUGCAUAAUGACACAUUACCAUGGCGAGAAUGUGUUUGUCAUACAUUAAAUAUGUAUGCAGCUCCGUUACUACUCUGCAGUCAAGCUGUGGAAUAUCAACUAUAUGGUUUAUUUCACCUCAGUCUCACAUACAAGCUGGCAUUUGUCUCUCCAAACUCAACUCUCUACUUACGGACCGUAUGUGUUAGCACCUCAUGGUGUGGAUACAAAGCGCAUGCAAGGUGGACCCCAUCGCGUUCUGGAACAAUCUGGAAAGACAGCAAGAACUAGACAGUAUGGAGGGGAAGCAAAAUACCAAUGGAGCUAUUUUAAAGCAUGAAAAAAAAAAAAGACAACAGCAUAUUUUGUUUCCAACAUUUCAGUUUUGUAUCGCUGUAACGGCUUUAAUUAUUCAGCUCGAGGCAUAAAAGUGCAGCAGCAUGUGUUAUUCUGAGCCAGUGUUCUGUCACAUCAGACGCCAUCCAGCAGUACACUGCACCGUAUGUCUCGGGUGUUUUUUUUUUUUUUUUUGUAGAAGCGCAUUGACGUCCUGUGAAGAAAACGUUUUGUUUGUUUGAACUUCUUUAUACAGUGUGCCAAAAGACGCCAAAAGUAAGCAUCUAUUCAGGCCUUAUGGUAAAGACUUCCAGCUUCUUGUAUCUGGGAACCAAUCUGAAAUGAUGGUGGCUGAGGAUAAGUUAACAAAUACAACAGAUACAGGUGCCGAUAUAAUGCGCCUUGGAUCUGAAAGAUCAUGUUUGAUGUGUUCAAUGAUGUUAAAUCAACCUCAGGCUACACCUAAGCUAACCAGAAGCGUGUCCGGCUAGCUUUUUCCAAGUCCGAGAUCCUGCAGCUGCCUCAGAUUCAUCAGCUCGCAGGCACAGUUAAAGCCAGCAACGUUUCUCCACCUCCCCCAGGAAAAAUAUCUGCGUCUGCCAGGAAACGUGGUUCUGGUGCUCCAUCAUCCACACCUUCUGGACAAUGCAGACCAACCUCAGCCCUUCCUGUCACUCCAGCGGCUCCUACCGCUCAGACCACGUGGGUCACGAUGCGAUCAGUCCAAGCACUCAAUUCACGUCAGCGGUUGCUGGAAAGUGCCUCCACCUUAGGUGUCUCACGCACCAGUGCAGCCGUUUCGGCCUUCUACCUUAGUCUGCCAUUAGCGCCCCAAAGGACUCAUUAGUCUCUCUCCUCUGCUAGGUGAGCUAACCUCCCCUCUGCAGCAACUGGUUCACCUCAAGACAGAUAUAAAAAAAAAUAGUGCAAAGCAAAUAGGUCAAGAUGUUAUUCUCAACUCCCCAGAAUGUCAUAAAAAAAAAAAAAAAAAGACGUUUCACCCGUGAGAGCAUUACAGCUAUUAUUAAAUCUGCUGACCCAUGCUUGUCAAGGGAUUGAGUUUAUCCUGAUAGAAGACGGGAAUUAGAUGCUUGUCUGCCACCGACUGGUGAUUUUAAUCUCAGAUAGCACAACGCAGCUUUUCAACGUGAUGCCCAUUUAAAUUGGACGGUUUUGAACACAGACAUUCUCGUUCUGAUUGUUGGCAGUUCUCGAUCUUUUUUUUUUUUUUUUUUUCCUGUGCAAACCUCCAUUCUGACUCCCUUCGCCCUCAGCUGGAUUACCGCAAGCACCAAUGCAAGAAAAGUCAAUUUAUCUCCCGUUUCAAAACCUCUUUCCUUCACGGCUGAAAAAAAAAAAAACAACCUCUUCAAAGUCCAUCAUUCAACACCAGUAAAUAUCCAAGCUCACGCCUCCAGAGCUGUCAGCUCAUCCAAACAAUGUAUUUAUUGAUCACCUGCUCACUGGCCUCUCUCAGGCUGGUUUCAUAUGCUGCGAAAAAACACUCCAGGAUCUAGAUAACUUUCAGCUGAUGAUGCUGGAGUGGUGGUUAGAUGUGGAGCUUGUAGGAAGGCCACAGGUUCGCAUCCCCGGGGGGAAACAGAGACUUAGAAAAAUACUUUUAAAAUCAGUAAUUAGUAAAGCAACUUAGUUACUCUUUAACCCUUUGAGUGGCAUUGUAACCACACAGUUGAUCUUAGUAAUAGACAAUAAAAUGUUUUCUAACCAUUGCUACUCAUUAAAUUUGUAAGAUUCACAAAUUUGCCCAUGUGUGAGCACAUUAUAUGUAUAAAUAUCGAAUCUGUGGCUUUUAUACUUUUGAACAUAUGACCGUAGUUUGAAAAAUUAAAUCAUGCAGCUUUAUUAUAUAGCUUCAUUAUUAUAUAUUAUAUUGUAUGAAUCUGUCCAGUUGUGUGAACAUUCCAAUAAUGAUAUGUCAGAACACUCAAUUUGUAGCGUACACUAUGAAUAUAGAUUAAAAAUUAAUGAUAUUUAAUUGUGAUUAAUCGUUUUUUUCAUUUCAUAAUCAUUCCAUAACGUUAAAUUAAUGAAUCAUGACAUAAAUACAGCAUGAAGCUUAGCCAAAAUUAACCCUUUUAUUAUGUAAAAAAAAAUGCUUUACAGUAACGUAACUCUGCUCUGUCGUUACCAACUGUCAUUUCAGUUCAGCAUCAACAUUCACUACUGACAUUAGCUAACGUUAGCGUCAUAAUUUAAAGUGAUUAAGUGUUUGUGGCACAUGCAAACAUAUCAUUGUCACAACCUUUUCUUUUUCUGAAUCCAUUGACUUUUUUUCUUGUCUUUUUUUAUGGGAGGAGAGGAAGAACAUGAAUUUUAUUGCAUUUGGAAGGUCAGUAGUUGUCCAUGAUGGCUUGUCAUAAUCAGUUGUGUUUGCCUCGCCUUUUUUCAUCAUGAAUUUUCCUAAAUUUACCCAUUCAGAUGAAUGUUCUCAAUUACUUUAACAAACCAGCAAACAUCUAGCCCUCAAGACUGUUGAGACGUUUUGCCAGAUCUGAGCCCGGCAUGUUUCCUACCCGACGUGUAAUUUGGUUCUGUUAAACCCCGCUUUCUACAUAAUAUCAGAUUUUAUGCUCUGCAUCACCCCGCCUUCAUUAUAAACAUCUUUCAUCACGCUGCUAUCGACAGACCCAGCAGCCCUUGCAGCCCUUGCGGCGCGGCACACGGUGAUGACCUCACAAACUCAUUAUUGAUGAGGGAGUGAAAAUACAUGAAUUGUGAAUGAAAUGCUCUCAGUGAGGCCGUGGCUCUCUGUGGGACAUGUUCAGUAAUGAAACUGAGCAAAAUGCCAACACGCAAAUAAGCGCAUGAACACACAUGCAGCAGCAGAACGUAGAUGCAGGAACUGAUAUGCUGCACGUAGACAUGCAUGCAUGUAUAUUUUUCUGAAAUGUGGAUUAAUUACUCCCUUAGCACAACUUCACUUGUGGGCGAAAUCAGCAAAUGAGAUAAUAAUAUUUCCUCUCAGGGCACUCAUAUUUAACCCAAUAUUUGGUUCCCAACACACACACACGCACACACAAGUUGAAAUUAUUUAAUGAUGAGGCAAAGUCAAAAUGCUCUUAAAACCUUGAAUCCCAAUGAUUGUGCAAACUUUCUCUUUGUUACACUACAUCAAAUUCACUCAUUUCAGAUACAGUCCCAGCACUUUUGACAGCUUUUCAUUAAAAUAGAGACGGGCAAAGACUUACUGACUCACGCACUACACCUGCCUACAGCAUAUGCUCGAUAUCAAUAUAUUCCCAGUUUCCUUGUCAGAUAUAGUAUAUUACUUUUUUUUUUUUUUCACCAGUGCAUAAAUAAAUGGAAAUACUCAAACCCCUCGGGUAAUUUUUUUCCAUUUCCUCCUAAUAUGACACUAAUAAAUCUGCAGCCUGAGGCACUGGCAGAAAUCACUCAGGAUCAGUGACGUAUCAGUCAUGUAAAAGUGCACUCAACAAUAUAAGCCAGUGUGUGUGUGUGUGUGUGUGUGAAUAUGUGUGUAACAAUAGAUUUGUGCAAAUCCCUUAACUAUCAGAUAAUUUAAGUGAAGUAUGACUCUCCGUGUGUAUGCCUGGGUGGUCGUAUGCAACGCUGAAUUAUUAAAUGCCCCUGUAACAAAUCUGACAAGAGAAGGGGGAGACUUCAUGAAAACAUAACUUUCUAUCAUCUGCCACGGCUUUCAAGGUACCACAGAUAAAUAUUAAUCCCCCAGCCGUGCCUCCUCGCCUCCCAAGCAGGUGGUGUGUUUUAAAACCCUCAUUAAAUGGCGCGGUCUUCAAUCAUCCCAAAUCAGAGCUAAAGUUGACGGCUGCUGCUAGGCUGUAAGAAGUCUCUACCUUCAGAGGCCAUAUGGUAUUUAUCUCUUGUGGAUAUACCAUGUGUUCUCAUGCCAGUGUGCCUCUAAUGGUGUAAGAGUAAGACUACAACAUGUUGCAGCUGGGUUUGCAAUUGACUGAUUCUGCAGGUAUGUAAGUGACAUAAUGGAGCAGCUUUUCUAGAUCCCGUGACAUCUGUGUUUUUGUUGUUUUGUCACUGCUAUCCGCAUACACGAGAGGUGGGUAGACAACAUGGCACACAUGGGUAGACUUUGUGAAACAGGGAAUAAGAAUGUGCCCCUUCCAGAAACAGCACAGGAAAAGGGAAACGCCGUGAGUGAUGUGAGAAAAAAACAGAAGCGAGGCAAACAAGACAGCCUGCUAGCGAGGCUAAAGGCUAACUGGUCCUGAUCACCAAUCUCAGGGUUUCCCAUACAAUGUUUAUACUAUGGGAGGCACCGCAAGCAAUGUAAAAAAAAAAAAAGAAA
Molecule: long non-coding RNA, 7856 nt
Organism: Mugil cephalus (flathead mullet)
Lineage: Eukaryota; Metazoa; Chordata; Actinopteri; Mugiliformes; Mugilidae
Exons: 2
Source: RefSeq, a predicted model, not a curated record